UCCUGAAACACUGCGAAGCAAAGCCAAGAUGCAUCUCCAGGCUGUAGCUUCUGUUCUUCUCGUCUUUCUCCUUUGCCCAAAGGAAAGUGUUUUGGCCUUAAAUCUACCUGAGAAUUUGGGAGAACAACUUGGGCUUCAAAAGAAUGCUCCACAAGGCGUUGUUCCAGAACUUGUUGACAGG
Molecule: non-coding RNA, 181 nt
Organism: Python bivittatus (Burmese python)
Lineage: Eukaryota; Metazoa; Chordata; Lepidosauria; Squamata; Pythonidae
Source: RefSeq, a predicted model, not a curated record